AACUUUUAACAAUGGAUCUCCGCCGAUUCUGGACCUGGUGCACUUGGGCCUGGGACCGGACGGGCACACGGCUUCGUUAGUACCUGGAGAUCCGGUACUCAAGAUCAACGAUGCCGACGUAGCUCUGACGGGGGAGUACCAGCACAGGCGGCGGAUGACGCUGACCUAUCCCAUGAUCAAUCGCGCCCGGCGGAUCUUAUGGUUGGCAACGGGCAGUGAGAAAGCCGGCAUGCUCACCCGCCUGCGCCAGGCCGAUCUGUCGAUCCCGGCAGGAAGGAUUAGCCAGGAACGGGCGGUAAUUUUCGCCGAUCAAGCCGCAACCGAAGGCGUGGCAGCUUAAGCAUAUCAAUAAGCGGAGGCU
This 361-nucleotide unclassified non-coding RNA is filed under the name uncultured Ascomycota. RNAcentral describes it as "sequence contains ITS2". The record is from RNAcentral. Lineage: Eukaryota; Fungi; Ascomycota.